AUAACAAGGACUAUACCCAUCAAAGGGUUAUUUUGAGUUUUGUUCAACCUGAAUACAAUCUUAAGGACUGUUCCCUUAGUUCUUUACUUUAUGGUUCUGUUACUGAGGCGUUCGACUUGGAUUAUCCCAUGAAAAACCCUCAUCAAUCUGUUUGGAUUGUGGGUUCUAUCAAUGGGAUGAUUUGUCUUGCCAUUGAGGAAAAUGCCUUGUUUUUAUGGAAUCCAUCUAUUAGGAAGUUCAAGAAAUUGCCUGACUCUAGACCUACAUUAAAGUGUGGUUACUAUUUCAUGUAUGGUUUUGGAUACGAUGAGCUUCGUGAUGAUUAUAAGGUAGUGGGUAUUUUCUGUACAUUCGGUUCCUAUCCCAUGAAAAGCCCUCAUCAAUCUGUUUGGAUUGUCGGUUCUAUCAAUGGGAUGAUUUGUCUUGCCAUUGAGGAAAAUGCCUUGUUUUUAUGGAAUCCAUCUAUUAGGAAGUUCAAGA
RNAcentral lists this long non-coding RNA (480 nucleotides) under Nicotiana benthamiana. Its description in RNAcentral is "long non-coding RNA (NBEN_LNC039245)". Lineage: Eukaryota; Viridiplantae; Streptophyta; Magnoliopsida; Solanales; Solanaceae. The record is from RNAcentral.